Molecule: long non-coding RNA, 628 nt
Organism: Corticium candelabrum
Lineage: Eukaryota; Metazoa; Porifera; Homoscleromorpha; Homosclerophorida; Plakinidae
Exons: 3
Source: RefSeq, a predicted model, not a curated record
GGCGCAUGCAGAUGAUAUCCGUGAUGUGAGUGUUACUUCAAGAAAGGUCCUGAUCAAGACAUAUUAUCUGAAAAUCGCAGGACUGAAGAGAUUCAUUUGUAGGUACUGCACCGUGGCUUUUCCAUGUGGAGCCACUUGUGGGUAUGGCAUUGCAGGCAUCCAGUGCUUGGAGCCGUGGAUGUAGUCUCCAGAUCUGAAGUCUUGAUAUUGAAUCUACACUCGUGUGGAUCGACUUCUCAGUCAUUGGGGAUUCUGUAGGACAGAGGCUAGGUGUAUCAGUCUGGCAUUACUACCUACUGAGAUUAAUUAUUAAAGCGAUGGAGCCUCUUGGAGACAAAGGUGUGUUUGGAUCUGUUGCCAUGACAAUGACGGUUCUGAGUAUGUGUUCAUCUCUAGAAAUCAGCAGUUGUGGGUGUAGCCUUUAUAAGUUGUUUUGAUACUUGAUGACUUUAUAGUCUUACAACAUCAAAGAAAUUUGUUUAGCGUAACUGUUUUUAUAAUAAAUUAGCAAAUAAUUGAAUCAGUACUUAGUAUUGGUCAACUGUCAUGUCAUUAAUGGUUAUUGUCUAUAAUGUUGAAUUCGUAGUAAACAUACAUGUGUAUAGUUUUCAUGUGGUGGUUAUUAAAC